RNAcentral lists this long non-coding RNA (940 nucleotides) under Pan troglodytes (chimpanzee). RNAcentral's name for it is "lincRNA". The record is from RNAcentral. Lineage: Eukaryota; Metazoa; Chordata; Mammalia; Primates; Hominidae.
GGCGUCUUUGUCUCUCGCUGGCGCUGGCACAGGAACUUGGGAUCUGUCUCCUCUUUCGCCUCCUGCACCUUGGGAGCCCCGGGCUACUCUCUCACAGCCCUUGUUGCCCUGCGAUCUGUAGGUCCUUGGGGACGCAUAGUUAAGGUGCCAGGACAUCCUGGAAGCUGGGAAAUGAUUUCUUCCAGCCCAUGGCUGGAGAAGGAAAGAAGGUGUGUUUUGCCUGAUUCAGGGGCUAUAGAGAGAACCAAGUUCUGCAGGCCUGUCACCUAAGUCUCAGCUGGGUGUCACAAACUCUGAACUGGAUUCCAAGGCUUUCAUGAAUGCACUUACGUUUGCUGUGGCAGCUGCAUUAUGUCGUGGGGGAUGUGGAUGCAGAACCUCACAUUCUGUCGUCUUGCUUAUGUUACUCUCCUUUAUGUUUCACUUUCUCAAAUGAAUGUCAAGCAGGUGAUUUUCAGAUUCAAAAGUUCUAAAAUAAAUUGCUCAAAUUUACACAUUAUGUAAGCUGUUAAUAAAAUGUCUUGUAGGUGCUACAUAUUUAUUAAAAUUUUUGGUUGUAAUUUUAAGCUCACUGUAGGCAGAAAGGAAUCAUUAAGGUUUCUAUUCUUUUUUAGUCUGUAACUAAAUGACCAUAUAUUUUAAUUCCAAAUAUUUACUUUAUACUUCAGUAAUGCUCAUUGUAUUUUGGAAAAUUUAUAUUGUUCUUUUAUUUGAAAAUAUAAGGCUUUUUUUUUUUAGCUCCUGAAAGCUAUAUUAUAGUCAUAUAAUUUUAUUAUAGUAUUUGAUAAGAAGAGCAGCAACAUAUUGAGAACAGAAUAAAAUUCUCCUGUCUUUUUAAUGAUUAUUUAUUAAAUUCUUCUCAUUAGAGCCUAUUAUUAAUGAUUGUAAUGUAUUUUCUGUAUAAUUUUACUGCAAUUUAUUAAAUGCCAAUGACUUCCAA